This 465-nucleotide ribosomal RNA is filed under the name Vreelandella stevensii. Its description in RNAcentral is "partial 16S ribosomal RNA". It matches the Rfam family "Bacterial small subunit ribosomal RNA", at positions 338 to 795 of the family's 1533-position model. Lineage: Bacteria; Pseudomonadati; Pseudomonadota; Gammaproteobacteria; Oceanospirillales; Halomonadaceae. The record is from RNAcentral.
CCUACGGUGCGCUGCAGUGGGAAAUAUUGGACAAUGGGCGAAAGCCUGAUCCAGCCAUGCCGCGUGUGUGAAGAAGGCCUUCGGGUUGUAAAGCACUUUCAGUGGGGAAGAAAGCCUUGGGGCUAAUACCCUCGAGGAAGGACAUCACCCACAGAAGAAGCACCGGCUAACUCCGUGCCAGCAGCCGCGGUAAUACGGAGGGUGCGAGCGUUAAUCGGAAUUACUGGGCGUAAAGCGCGCGUAGGCGGUCUGAUAAGCCGGUUGUGAAAGCCCCGGGCUCAACCUGGGAACGGCAUCCGGAACUGUCAGGCUAGAGUGCAGGAGAGGAAGGUAGAAUUCCCGGUGUAGCGGUGAAAUGCGUAGAGAUCGGGAGGAAUACCAGUGGCGAAGGCGGCCUUCUGGACUGACACUGACGCUGAGGUGCGAAAGCGUGGGUAGCAAACAGGAUUAGAUACCCUGGUAGUC